RNAcentral lists this ribosomal RNA (370 nucleotides) under uncultured Flavobacterium sp. Its description in RNAcentral is "bacterial SSU rRNA". It matches the Rfam family "Bacterial small subunit ribosomal RNA", at positions 538 to 915 of the family's 1533-position model. Lineage: Bacteria; Pseudomonadati; Bacteroidota; Flavobacteriia; Flavobacteriales; Flavobacteriaceae. The record is from RNAcentral.
GCGUUUCCGGCAUAUUGGGUUUAAAGGGUCCGUAGGCGGUUUAGUAAGUAGUGGUGAAAGCCCAUCGCUCAACGGUGGAACGGCCAUUGAUACUGCUAGACUUGAAUUAUUAGGAAGUAACUAGAAUAUGUAGUGUAGCGGUGAAAUGCUUAGAGAUUACAUGGAAUACCAAUUGCGAAGGCAGGUUACUACUAAUGGAUUGACGCUGAUGGACGAAAGCGUGGGGAGCGAACAGGAUUAGAUACCCUGGUAGUCCACGCCGUAAACGAUGGAUACUAGCUGUUGGGGGCAAUUUCAGUGGCUAAGCGAAAGUGAUAAGUAUCCCACCUGGGGAGUACGUUCGCAAGAAUGAAACUCAAAGGAAUUGACG